GAUGAACGCUAGCGGCAGGCCUAACACAUGCAAGUCGAGGGGUAUAGUUCUUCGGAACUAGAGACCGGCGCACGGGUGCGUAACGCGUAUGCAAUCUACCUUUUACAGGGGAAUAGCCCAGAGAAAUUUGGAUUAAUGCCCCAUAGUGUUAUAGAAUCGCAUGGUUUUAUAACUAAAGUUCCAACGGUAAAGAUGAGCAUGCGUCCCAUUAGUUAGUUGGUAAGGUAACGGCUUACCAAGACAAUGAUGGGUAGGGGUCCUGAGAGGGAGAUCCCCCACACUGGUACUGAGACACGGACCAGACUCCUACGGGAGGCAGCAGUGAGGAAUAUUGGACAAUGGGCGCAAGCCUGAUCCAGCCAUGCCGCGUGCAGGAAGACGGUCCUAUGGAUUGUAAACUGCUUUUGUACAGGAAGAAACACUCCCUCGUGAGGGAGCUUGACGGUACUGUAAGAAUAAGGAUCGGCUAACUCCGUGCCAGCAGCCGCGGUAAUGUAGU
This 499-nucleotide ribosomal RNA is filed under the name uncultured bacterium. Its description in RNAcentral is "bacterial SSU rRNA". It matches the Rfam family "Bacterial small subunit ribosomal RNA", at positions 28 to 529 of the family's 1533-position model. The record is from RNAcentral.